This is a non-coding RNA of Coturnix japonica (Japanese quail), 1072 nucleotides long. The record is from RefSeq and is a predicted model, not a curated record. NCBI's taxonomy places the organism in Eukaryota, Metazoa, Chordata, Aves, Galliformes, Phasianidae.
UUUGUUGCAGCACAAUAGCUCCUUAAGUAGGCUGACUGCUUCGUCUACACCCCUUAAGCGUUCGCCAAAAGCGUGCGUCCAAUUUACAUCACAGAGCAGGGGAGGUUCUGCCGCGUCACAACCCGUGUCCUUGCUAACGCCUACUACAACACACCUGCGUCCACACUGGCUUCCUACAGGCAGAGCCAGAGCACAACAGCAAGCUGAGCCGAGCUGUUCCUUCGAAUAUUAUGUAGUUCUUGUGGAGAACAGUGGGGAUCCACAGCGCAAUGACUAAUCCCUGUGAAAGGCUAAACUUGAGUGAUUCAUUCGGCUCUGAGAUCCAGACAUUAGUAUUCUUAAAAACUCUUCUGAAUUUAGCUUUUUAUUUAGUGAGGAACAACUAAAGAACAAGAGAAUUCAAGGGAAAGCACCUGCCUUUACAGAACACACAAGAAGCAAUAUUCUCAGGAUAUGCUUUCAUGUUUUCAAGAGGAGAAGAAAACAGAGAAACCAGGAAUGAAAAAGUGACAGUGACUGACUUCAUAGAGGCAUUUCCAGAAUAUGAUAAGCAUGAUAAAGAACAACCACACUAUGCCUCAAAUAUGUAUUCAGCAAGAAGGUAUGCAAUCUGAUCAGAAUCAGAGAUCAUGCAUGAACUUUAAUCCUUCCAGUGUAGCAAUCAACACUGCAAUGAAUUGAUACACUUAAAAAGUUAUUCUGCAAGAAAUGGAAAUAAGCAAAGGAACUGGCUAACCAUGUCUGAAAAGCCUCUAACAAACUCCUGAACACAGGUUCUUCAGCAGUGACCUAAACUUUGCAUAAGUUAAGUAGGUAGUAGUAAGACUUUCCAAAUACAGUGAAACUGCUGAAGCAGCUCAAACCAUGGGGGAUAUGACACGACACAAAUGAGACAGCUGAGUAUGGAGCUGAGAAGUCAGCUCGGUCAAACAAGUUGCCAAACAACUGGAGCUCAUACCUGCAUUUUGCACAUACCUCUUUUCAAGCCCAGCUCCAAAUACUUGAAUACUUAUUAAUCUAUGCUGCACUGACUGAAUUCUGAACUAUACAGCUCCCCAUUCCCCAGCCCAAU